This is a non-coding RNA of Megalobrama amblycephala (Wuchang bream), 1503 nucleotides long. The record is from the annotation of a RefSeq genome assembly. Lineage: Eukaryota; Metazoa; Chordata; Actinopteri; Cypriniformes; Xenocyprididae.
AACACAAUCUUCAUCAUCACACAAGACAAAAGAACAACAAUGAACACAAUCACCUUCUUCAUCUGGACUCUCACACUGUUUAUUCAAGAGUGUAGAGGACAGUACACUGUAACUCAGAGUCCAUCAAUAAUUCAGACUCAACCAGGACAAGAAGUCAGAAUAAACUGUAAAAUCAGCAGUGCAGUGUAUAGUAGUAAUUACUUACACUGGUACUUACAGAAAUCUGGAGAAGCUCCUAAACUCCUCAUAUAUUAUGCAACAACCCGUUAUACUGGAACUCCAUCUAGAUUCAGUGGCAGUGGAUCUAACAGUGAUUUCACUCUGACCAUCAGUGGAGUCCAGACUGAAGAUACAGGAGAUUAUUACUGUCAGAGUUACCACAAUGAUCCAGUGUUCACACAGUGAUAAAGAGUGGUACAAAAACCUCGGUCAGUCAGACGUCACAGUGAUGCACUGAUACAGCUGAGAGAUACUGCAGCUGCUGAUGGAGGAUCACAAACAACACAAUGGUGUAUCAAACCUUUCAGAAACUAUUUAUUUAUUUAUUUAGAUGUACUAAGCAUGUAACAUAAUCUUUAUAUUAUAUAAAUGUUAGUGGUGUUUGGUCCUGCAAAACUUUCCACUACAAUGUAAUCUAACUGCAGGAAAGUCUGUCACUUUAAUUGCACUUCCAUGCUUCAUCACUAGAUGGCGUGUCUGUUACAUAACUGAGUUCUCUAUCUGUCAGUCACUUUGACGUUGUGUCGAUGUGAUGACACUAGUGUAGAGUUUCUCAACCUUUUUUACUCGAUGGCCUCCUCCUUCACCAGAUCAAUACUGCAGUGAAGAUGCCUGACAUUUCCUCUUAUACUGUACUUCCACAGCAAAGAGAGAAAAGUGUUUGUAUUUAAGCCUUUUUAUUAACAAAACAUUUGUCUGCAUUAUUACUCUUCUACUGCAUGUUUUGUAAUAUUUUUUAAUAUUCUUUUUGAAAAUAUAAUUGUUAAAGUUAAAAAAUUCCUCUGCUAAAUUAUAAUACUCUGAUGUUACCCAGGUCGAGUGAUUUUAUCUGUGCCAACAGAACGAUUGAGACUCCCAUCUAAAGCCUGUCGGUUCAUCCCUGAUAACAAGAACUUAAUGCUGUUGGACAGGCUGUCUCUGAUAUACAUGACAUGGACAUGAACGAGGAUAGUCCCGACCCAACACACAUGCAGGAACUAUGAUCGUCUACCGAUUUAUUAAUAAUUAAUAAUCAUCCAUAAUUAAUAAUCAUCAAAUGUGAGGUAAGAUUAGUAUACGCACAUCAGAAGGCCUUUUCUGUAUAUUCACAUUUCAUAAUGGAUAUAUUAUCAGGGACCCCAAGAGUUAAAUAAAAACAAACAAAACAAGCCAUAUAAUGUACUAAAAUAACACAUAUUAUGAAGACACUUCAAAUUUAAUAGUAUUAGAUGAUCUGAUAGUUUGACAUUUGCAUUUUGUUUAAAGGUGUUUUUAUGGAUGUUUUGGCUGAGUUUUCUCAUAAUA